AGAAAAGAAGGGAGAAACCAAAAGGGAGGAGAGGGCAUCAAGAAAGCAGCAAAGGGAAAUCCCAGGAUUCAACAGAAAUUUUUGGUUGCCUGCUACAUGCCAGAUUCUUUUCUAGGUAAUGGAUAUAGCACAUUAGGUAAUAAGUGCUAAGAAGGAAAGUAAAGCAGAGUAAGAGACAAACAGUGACUGGUGCACUAAAGAGAUGCUAUUUUAAAUAAGGUCAUCUUGGAAAGCCUCAAUAAGGUAGAAUCGAGCAGAGACCUGAAUGAAGGGAGAGAAAGUGAGUGUGCAGAUAACACAAAGAAUAGCAUUCUGAGGAAAGGGAACAAGUAUGUGCAGAGGCCCUGAGGCAACAAUAUAGUUGGCAUGUUUGGGAAAUAGGAAGGAGGCCAGUUUAGCUGGACCAACUUGUUGGAGAGGAAAAAGUGGUUGAGGACUGGAUCAUAGUGGAGUAGGGAUAAGGGGUCACAUCUUUAAUGCUUUGGAGACCAUGGUAGUUGUUUGGAUUUUACUCUGAGUGAGAUAUGAAGCCAUUGGAGGGUUUAAGCAAAGGAGUGACAAGAUUUGACUUAUAUUUUUAAAGGAUUAUUCUGACUCAUUUGUGAAAAAUAGACUGUAAGAGGGUGAGGAGUUAAGUAGGAAGAUUAAUUAGAAUACUAUUUCAAUAGUCCAUGUGAAAGAUGAUACUUGCUUGGACAAGAGCAGUCAUGAUAAUAAAAGAGUGGUAAGGAAUGGUCAGAUCCUGGAUAUAUUUGAAGUUAGAGCCAAAGAUGAUUUGCAAAUGGAUUAGGUGCUCUGAUAGAUAUGGAGAUGUGCUGCCUUGAUCCCCCUUCCAGGAAAGACUUGAUGAACCUCAGGAAGUGUGGAGGACAGAAAUUCUCCAGCUGUCAGCACUUCAUCUGCAGCAGCUAUAGAAAACACUUUACCUGAGGUCACAUCUUCCCUAGAUCUGAGGACCGAACACAAUGGGGAUGUAAAACCCUUGCCAUUUCAGCCUAAUGCAUCACAUUAUGUCAGGCAAAACUCACUCCAGAGCUUCCUCCUUUGCAGCUUGACUUCUUCCUCUGCACAAUCUGCUUCUUCCCCUUCCCUUGACAAGUGCUCUGUGAUAAAUAUCUUGCAGCCCAAAUUCCAUCUCAGGAUCUUCAAAGAACAGAACGGUGACAGUUGGUCCCAGUAGUGGUCUAAGAUGCCCGUGAGGAACCCAUCACAUGUGGCACAUGGAACAUAAGGAGCCCCUGGCUCAAGGUGGCAGCUUUCACCAAUGGUAAAAUGAGAGUUCACCUGUGGAAGAGAAUGAACUAGUGAGUGCAGGAUAUCAGGUACUUGAGACUCAUGAAGGAACUCAUAGAGUUAAGAAUACCAGAAUUGGAUGGCUAAGUACCACUGAUGCUCUACAGAAAGUGGGCCUCUUUAGUUGCACACAAAGCUUGUCCAGAACUGAGUAGUCUGAGUGGCUGAACUGGCGAUUGUCCUAGGAGAAGAAAUAUUGGAAGAUCAACCACAGGAAGUCUGAAAUAGAGGCCUAUGGAUGGACAUAUUGGCACUGAGCGUGAGCAUGAACAGUGAAGGUCUUUGUAUCCCAUGUAACACCCACCAGAGAGCAUCCACUACUGAAGAGGCACUAAACAAUAAAGAAGACUGAAUAAAUUGCCCAGUUGACAUCAUCUGCCUCAGUCAUUGGCCAACUGGUGCUGGCCCUUGGGCAUAUGAAUGGAGUGUCCACUGGAGAAGGGAUGAAGACAGAGUGUGGGUUCAACUGAUCAAGGCUAAUUUAGCUUCUGCUGCUUCUGAAUGCCCAAACUGCCAGCAAUAGAGAGCAACACUGAGCUCCCGAUAUGACACCAUUCCUUGAGACCAAGUGUCAAGUUGGCUACGUUAGGCCCCUUCCAUCCUGGAGUGACCACCUGUUUCUUGUUACGGGAGUAGACACAUAUUCCAGAUAUGGGGUUGCUUUUCCUACCCAAAGAGCCUCAGCCAGUACCACCAUCUGAGUGUUAUGUAAUAUUAGAUUCACUAGCAUGAGAUCUCACAUAAUGUCACAUCAAACCAGGGAACCUGUUUUGCAAAAAAAGGAAGUGCAGGAGUGGACCCUUAUCCACAGGAUCCACUGAUAAUGUCACGUAUCUCACCACCCAGAAACUGCCAGCUUGAUAGGGCCUCGGAGCAACCUGCUGAAGAUACAGCUGAAUGCCAGUUCAGAGGCAAUACUCUGAAAGAGUGAGAUGCCAUACUCCAAGAUGUAUUAUAUGCAUUGGAUCAAAGAUAUUUGUAUGGCACUGUGCCUCCGUACAAAAAAUAUGGGUCUAGGAGCCAAGGGGUGAAAGCAGAAGUGUCCCUAGCCCUUACAAUCACUUCUAAGGACCCUUAAAGUGCUAUUUAUGUUUCCUGUCUUCACAACUCUGAACUCUGCAUAUUGAGAGGUCUUGGUCCCUAAAAGGGAUACACUUCUAAGAAAUAGAGCAAAAAUUCCAUUUAAAUAUAAGCUGCAGCUGCUACCUGGGUACUUUGGGCUCCUUGUGCCCAGAGACCAGCAGGCAAGAAAAGGGGACACCUUCUUGCCAGGGAUAAUUGACUCUGAUCAUCAGAAGGAGAUAGGGAUCCUGUUACACUCACCAUUAAGGUAGGAAAGAGUAAAUAUGGAGCCCACUUAACAAAUUGUGAAUAUAAAGAGAAGGUAUAGCAAUUCCAUCCUGAUAAAUGCAUGAUGGCAGAAACUCAGACCCCUCAGGGAAUGAGGGUCUAGGUCACAACACCAGGUAAGCCAACAACAGCAGCAGAGGUGGUAGUGGAGGGUGAGGGAAAUCUAGAAUUGAUAGUGGAGGGGGGAGAUGACAAGUAUUCUACAGCCUUACUACAGCAGUAGGGACUGUAGUUUGUCCCACUAACCUCUAUCUUCUAAGUUCCCCUCAGGAAAAGAGGCCCCUUCACUCUUGUAGGAGCUGCUUCCUAAACAUACAUGGAGAAAUAGACCUAUAUGAAGCAAGGGGUGGAUUGUGGUAAGCAAAGAGAUAUGCUGUCCAGAUUCAUCUUCAAGAAAGGGCUUGCUGAAUGAGGUCAGCAACCUCCAGCUUCCAGUUUCUUCACAGUCUAGCUCAACUGCAGAGAGCCACUUUGCUUCAGGUCCUGCCCUUCCUACAUUUGGUGACUGAGUGAGAUCAGCUGCAUGCAGCUGCAGAAGUGACCCCAGCACACAUGGGGAGCAAAAAAUAUAAACAAACAGUGAAUUAAGAGAAUUUAUAAAUGAUUGUUAUUAUUUUAAAACACUACAUUUUUGGGGGUGAUUUGUUAUUCAGCAACAGAUAGAGAAAUUGGCAUCUGGAGUAGCAUGUAAUCUUAACAAAAUGCAGAAACAUAUGGUACUGGCUUUAAGACUAGAUAGCAGGUUGGGGAUUGGAAGAGUGUCAAGAAGACUGCUAGUGGAGGCUGAAAGGUGAUUGUGGUAGACGGAAUAAUGCUCCCCUACCUCAAGAUAUCCACAUCCUAAUCCCCAGAAACUAUGGAUAUGUUACCUUACAUGGUAAAAGGGACUUGGCAGAUGUGAUUAAGGUUCUUGAGAUGUAGAGGUUACCUUGGGUUAUCCAGAUGGGCCAAUAUAAACACAAGGGUCCUUAAAGUGGAAGAGGGAUACAUAAGAGGAGGUCAGAGUGAUACGAAAUUAAGACUCUGUUGCUGGCUUUGCAGAUGGGCGAGGGGAACCACAAGCCAAAGACUGUGGGCAGCCUCUAGAAGCUGGAAGAGGCAAGGGAACAUAUUCUUCUCUAAGAGCCUCCAGAAAGGAAUAUUGUUCAGCCAACAUCUUGAUUUUAUUCCUGUGAGAUCAGUGUUGUGCUUCUAACCUACAGAACUAUAUAAUAAUAAAUUUGUGUUGGUUAAGCCUGCUAAGUUUCGUGUUAUACUACACAAGCAGGAGAAACAUAAUACAGGUGGUUAGAAGGCUAUUAGCCUUGAAGAAUAGUAAACAGACUCUUAGUAGAGGGUGGAAAAAGUCAGUAAGGAAAUUAUUAAAUGGGGGAAAAUGUAGGACCUGAGUUAUAUGGUAACAGAAUGCUUGGCAAUACUUCUGCCUGCCAUAACAAAGAACAUAGAAAGUGAACUUGGUGAGUUUAUAGAUCUCUUAAGGAGAUUUCCAGGCAGAGUGAUGAAAGUACCAAUUAACUUUGUACAGCUACGGAUGAUAAUGUACAAGAAGAGAGAAAUGAGCUAACGAAGGAACUGUUCAAUUUAAAAGAAGAGUUUAAAGGAAAUAUUUCCAACCCAGUGCUUUCCUUUUCUUAGGAAAAAGGAAGAAUGACUGGCGGGCAGAGCCAGAAUCCCAGAGGGAGGAGCCAAGAAGCAAGAAAAUCUGGACUGAGAGAAGCCACCCCCAAGUAGCUGCACCUGAGGAACAAUACCUGAGGCAUUUUCUCCACAUCUGGACCUGAUUUAGAUGAUAAGAGAUUGAACUUAAACUAAUGUCAUCAUGGGACGAGACUUUUAGGGUACGGGGUUUCUUGGGCUUCUACAUAGACAGCUCUAUCAUCUGUGAAUAGAGACUGUUUUGUUUCUUCCUUCCCAAUAGCAGCGGGACACAAAGAUGCCAACCAGUCCAUACAGAAGUAUGCAGAGGAAUCACCUGUGUCACAGCCCAUGAGGACAACCAGUGACAGGUCAGAGAUGGUUGGCCAACGGCUAAAGGCCAAGCAAAUGCCCUGGGGCAGGGUAGGCAUACCAGCAGGUCACUAGUAAUGAUAAA
Orcinus orca (killer whale) is the source of this 4735-nucleotide long non-coding RNA. RefSeq lists it as uncharacterized. The transcript is spliced from 4 exons. NCBI's taxonomy places the organism in Eukaryota, Metazoa, Chordata, Mammalia, Artiodactyla, Delphinidae. The record is from RefSeq and is a predicted model, not a curated record.